RNAcentral lists this ribosomal RNA (253 nucleotides) under uncultured bacterium. RNAcentral describes it as "partial 16S ribosomal RNA". It matches the Rfam family "Bacterial small subunit ribosomal RNA", at positions 524 to 776 of the family's 1533-position model. The record is from RNAcentral.
UGCGAAGGGGGCUAGCGUUGUUCGGAAUUACUGGGCGUAAAGGGCGCGUAGGCGGCCUGCUAAGUCGAACGUGAAAUCCCUGGGCUCAACCCAGGAACUGCGUCCGAUACUGGUUGGCUUGAAUCCGGGAGAGGGACGUGGAAUUCCAGGUGUAGCGGUGAAAUGCGUAGAUAUCUGGAGGAACACCGGUGGCGAAGGCGACGUCCUGGACCGGCAUUGACGCUGAGGCGCGAAAGCUAGGGGAGCAAACAGG